GCGGGCCGUGAGAGCGGGAGCCCGGAGAUGGGCACUGAGACAAGGGCCCAGGCCCUACGGGGCGCAGCAGUCGCGAAAACUUUGCAAUACACGAAAGUGUGACAGGGCUAUCCCGAGUGCCAUCCGCUGAGGAAGGCUUUUACCCAGUCUAGAAAGCUGGGGGAAUAAGGAGAGGGCAAGUCUGGUGUCAGCCGCCGCGGUAAUACCAGCUCUCCGAGUGGUGUGGAUGUUUAUUGGGCCUAAAGCAUCCGUAGCUGGCUAAGUUAGUCCCUUGUUAAAUCCACCGAAUUAAUCGUUGGAUUGCGGGGGAUACUGCUUAGCUAGGGGACGAGAGAGGCAGACGGUAUUUCCGGGGUAGGGGUGAAAUCCUAU
RNAcentral lists this ribosomal RNA (372 nucleotides) under uncultured crenarchaeote. RNAcentral describes it as "bacterial SSU rRNA". It matches the Rfam family "Archaeal small subunit ribosomal RNA", at positions 268 to 643 of the family's 1478-position model. The record is from RNAcentral. Lineage: Archaea; Thermoproteati; Thermoproteota.